RNAcentral lists this ribosomal RNA (465 nucleotides) under uncultured bacterium. RNAcentral describes it as "partial 16S ribosomal RNA". It matches the Rfam family "Bacterial small subunit ribosomal RNA", at positions 28 to 507 of the family's 1533-position model. The record is from RNAcentral.
GACGAACGCUGGCGGCGUGCUUAACACAUGCAAGUCGAACGGAAAGGCCCCUUUGGGGGUACUCGAGUGGCGAACGAGUGAGUAACACGUGAGUAACCUGCCCUUGACUUCGGGAUAACUUCAGGAAACUGGGGCUAAUACCGGAUAGGAAUCCUUGCUGCAUGGUGGGGGUUGGAAAGCUUCGGCGGGUUUGGAUGGACUCGCGGCUUAUCGGCUUGUUGGGGGGGCAGCGGCUUACCAAGGCGCUGACGGGUAGCCGGCCUGGGGGGGCGACCGGCCACAGUGGGGCUGAGGGGCGGCCCAGGCUGCGACGGGGGGGAGCAGGGGGGAAGGUUGGGGGAGGGGCGGGGGGCGGGUGCAGCAGGGCCGCGGGCGGGAGGACGGGGUUCGGGUUGGAGACCGCUUUCGGCAGGGGCGAAGCUUGUGGUGACGGUACCUGCAGAGGAAGCACCGGCUAACUACGUG